Long non-coding RNA from Dioscorea cayenensis subsp. rotundata (Guinea yam), 476 nucleotides. RefSeq lists it as uncharacterized. NCBI's taxonomy places the organism in Eukaryota, Viridiplantae, Streptophyta, Magnoliopsida, Dioscoreales, Dioscoreaceae. The record is from RefSeq and is a predicted model, not a curated record. The transcript is spliced from 3 exons.
UCUUGUCAUGGUUCGUGGGAGAGGCAUUCUUCUUUUUCUUCUCCUCCUCCUCCUUCUUCUUAACAACAACCUUCCCCUUGGAGUUUUGGACUGAAGAAACCAGCCGUGAGGAGGAUCCCGGAGUCGCAGUACUUUGGGUUCGGCAGCGGCGAGAAGGUUGGAGUUUCAUCGAUUCUUUCUUCUUCGAGCUUCAGAUCUCGUAGCGAGCCCUAGUUCACGGGACUUGGUGAAUCCGACUCUGUAGCUCUGAGCCAGGAGAAGAUCAAGUCUAGGAUCGGGGGGUGUCUGGGAGUCAUAUUUUCUGCUUUUAUCAGCAUCUCUAUAUUACCUUUUUGUGAGUGUAAGGCUUGUAUUCUGACUGUAUUUGUGUUUUGCAAACUGUUGGGUUGUAUUUGUAUUCUGUAGGGCUGCUAAAGCCUGUACUUGUAGUAUUUCAGUUCUCAGUAUCCUAUUUGUGCUUCUAUAUUACUGUUCAU